AUUGAACGCUGGCGGCAUGCCUUACACAUGCAAGUCGAACGGCAUCGCGGGAAAGCUUGCUUUCCUGGCGGCGAGUGGCGAACGGGUGAGUAACACAUCGGAACGUACCGGCUAGUGGGGGAUAACCCGUCGAAAGACGGGCUAAUACCGCAUACGCUCUUCGGAGGAAAGCAGGGGACCUUUGGGCCUUGCGCUAGUCGAGCGGCCGAUGUCCGAUUAGCUAGUUGGUGGGGUAAAGGCCUACCAAGGCGACGAUCGGUAGCGGGUCUGAGAGGACGAUCCGCCACACUGGGACUGAGACACGGCCCAGACUCCUACGGGAGGCAGCAGUGGGGAAUCUUGGACAAAGGGGGCAACCCUGAUCCAGCAAUGCCGCGUGGGUGAAGAAGGCCUUCGGGUUGUAAAGCCCUUUCGGCAGGGAAGAAAUCGGCGGGGCGAAUAACCCUGCUGGACGACGGUACCUGCAGAAGAAGCACCGGCUAACUACGUG
RNAcentral lists this ribosomal RNA (490 nucleotides) under uncultured bacterium. RNAcentral describes it as "partial 16S ribosomal RNA". It matches the Rfam family "Bacterial small subunit ribosomal RNA", at positions 29 to 507 of the family's 1533-position model. The record is from RNAcentral.